This 460-nucleotide ribosomal RNA is filed under the name uncultured bacterium. Its description in RNAcentral is "partial 16S ribosomal RNA". It matches the Rfam family "Bacterial small subunit ribosomal RNA", at positions 338 to 795 of the family's 1533-position model. The record is from RNAcentral.
CCUACGGGAGGCUGCAGUGAGGAAUAUUGGUCAAUGGGCGAGAGCCUGAACCAGCCAAGUCGCGUGAAGGAUGAAGGAUCUAUGGUUUGUAAACUUCUUUUAUAUGGGAAUAAAGUGAGGAACGUGUUCCUUUUUGUAUGUACCAUAUGAAUAAGCAUCGGCUAACUCCGUGCCAGCAGCCGCGGUAAUACGGAGGAUGCGAGCGUUAUCCGGAUUUAUUGGGUUUAAAGGGUGCGUAGGUGGUUAAUUAAGUCAGCGGUGAAAGUUUGUGGCUCAACCAUAAAAUUGCCGUUGAAACUGGUAGUCUUGAGUACAGUUGAGGUAGGCGGAAUUCGUGGUGUAGCGGUGAAAUGCUUAGAUAUCACGAAGAACUCCGAUUGCGAAGGCAGCUUACUAAACUGCCACUGACAUUGAUGCUCGAAAGUGUGGGUAUCAAACAGGAUUAGAUACCCGGGUAGUC